GCUCAGGACGCCACGGAAGUAUUUUUAUUAUUCAAAGCAUAUAAUGGUAAAAUAAUAAUAAAUUGAUGAUGUAAGACAACAUUCUUCCCUAAUGGACCGUUUAUCUCAUUGGUCGUCACGGGUGACCACCGUGGCGCCUUGGUAACAAUUGAUAGUGACAUAUUAUAACAAGGCUUCGUUUAUUUCAACAAACCAUUCGCAUUCGUUAUUUCGUCGUAAGCAAAACGUGCAGAAUAUAUUGUUGAAACGUGUAGAAGAUAUUAGUAAACAGUAUUUGCUCAUUCUAUAUAUAAUAGUAAGAUUACCCCCCAAAGAUAUGGAUGCAAACACAGUGCACCGUUAGAUGCAAGAUUUGUUCUCAUUUUUUUUUU
RNAcentral lists this unclassified non-coding RNA (371 nucleotides) under Bombus terrestris (buff-tailed bumblebee). RNAcentral's name for it is "misc RNA ENSBTSG00005019899.1". The record is from RNAcentral. Lineage: Eukaryota; Metazoa; Arthropoda; Insecta; Hymenoptera; Apidae.